RNAcentral lists this ribosomal RNA (263 nucleotides) under uncultured bacterium. RNAcentral's name for it is "partial 16S ribosomal RNA". It matches the Rfam family "Bacterial small subunit ribosomal RNA", at positions 524 to 786 of the family's 1533-position model. The record is from RNAcentral.
AACGUAGGUGGCGAGCGUUGUCCGGAAUCACUGGGUGUAAAGGGCGUGUAGGCGGGGGUGCAAGUCAGGUGUGAAAGACCACGGCUCAACCGUGGGGUUGCACUUGAAACUGUAUCUCUUGAGUAUUGGAGAGGGAAGCGGAAUUCCUAGUGUAGCGGUGAAAUGCGUAGAGAUUAGGAGGAACACCAGUGGCGAAGGCGGCUUCCUGGCCAAAUACUGACGCUGAGGCGCGAAAGCGUGGGGAGCAAACAGGAUUAGAUACC